This 404-nucleotide ribosomal RNA is filed under the name Actinomycetes bacterium. RNAcentral describes it as "Actinobacteria bacterium partial 16S ribosomal RNA". It matches the Rfam family "Bacterial small subunit ribosomal RNA", at positions 355 to 776 of the family's 1533-position model. Lineage: Bacteria; Bacillati; Actinomycetota; Actinomycetes. The record is from RNAcentral.
UGGGGAAUAUUGGACAAUGGGCGCAAGCCUGAUCCAGCCAUGCCGCGUGAGUGAUGAAGGCCCUAGGGUUGUAAAGCUCUUUCACCGGCGAAGAUAAUGACGGUAACCGGAGAAGAAGCCCCGGCUAACUUCGUGCCAGCAGCCGCGGUAAUACGAAGGGGGCUAGCGUUGUUCGGAUUUACUGGGCGUAAAGCGCACGUAGGCGGACUUUUAAGUCAGGGGUGAAAUCCCGGGGCUCAACCCCGGAACUGCCUUUGAUACUGGAAGUCUUGAGUAUGGUAGAGGUGAGUGGAAUUCCGAGUGUAGAGGUGAAAUUCGUAGAUAUUCGGGGGAACAACAGUGGCGAAGGCGGCUCACUGGACCAUUACUGACGCUGAGGUGCGAAAGCGUGGGGAGCAAACAGG